UCCUCUACCCUUAUCUCCCCAAGCUACAAAGUCUCACAGUCUGCAAACACCUUUUGCUUGCGUAAUCUGCUCUCCUUGAACCAGCAUGGGAGAGCUGGCACGUUCUGCUUGGGAGGCAAUGGACAAGGGAUUCACCUCCUGUGCAAAGGAUGAGUCAGAAACACCCAGCAAUACCCACUGCCUGCCAGGGGCUCUAGGUCUGAGAAGCAAGACCAGCAUCUCUGACUCCUUCCUCAGCAAUUUGUGCCAAUUCCAGGCAACUCCAGAUGUGUGUCUUUCCCACCAGUAUCUGCAAAGACUUGGCUCUGGAGACUGGGAUCUGCUUGCCAGCAUACUGCCUCUGGGUGCAUUCAGUCCCAAGGGUCAAGUUUCCACUGCCACACUCAUCCCUGGCUGUGCUGCCAGACAUGCUGCAGGAUGGACGGCAGACGUACGGGGUGUCAUCAGAAUUAUGGGGGUCUUGAAGAAGACUAAUGAAACAGAGUCAAGAAACAGAAACCUCAGAAUAACAUGACCUGCAACCCCAGCGAGCGUGGUUGUGAUGUUCCAGAGACAUAAGCAACACUGCCCCGUUCUCAGGAUUCUUUGAGCACAGUUAUGUGAUGCUGGUUCUGAUCAUUUGCAAUUGCAUAUUAGCACUACUUCCCUGAAUUUUGUCUUGGAAAGCUCAGUGACUUUAGGACGUCUGGCAUUAACAACUGCCCUUUCCAGUAUGAGAAUCUGAAUGAGGUGCUGCAUAGUUCUCAUUUCAUUAUGAACAGCUGGAUGAGAACAGAUGCAUAAUAAAGCAAAUCUUUCAAAAGCAGCCUAAGCACUGGAUGCACAAUGAAGACAACUGCAUUUCAGCCCAAAGGUGGCUGCAUUUGAGCCACAGAGAAGGAACCCGUUUACAAAGAAACCUCUCAAGCACUUUGGGAUGAAAACACUAUACAGAACCUGCUUAAUUCACUCAUGUGACAAACUCUCAUUUCAUAUUGUUUUCCUGGUUUUGCUAUGCCAGUCACACUGCAAUUCGAAAUGUCCUUGCUCUGUGCUGGAACAGCAGUUCAGUUCACCGCAUUCGAUAAAGCCAGCAGAAUAAAAAAACUUGUGAUGGAAAUAGUUCUUGUGUGUGCAGCCAGCCCGUGCUCAGAGGCUGCUCAUAUUCCAUUUCUCUCUGUCUCGUUAACAAAUGGCUACCAGUAAUCUCAUGCCAUUACUGUGGUUUUGAAUUCUGGGUGUACUUUACUCAUUAGUAGCAUGUCCUAGGCUCUGUGUUCUGUUGCAUGAUGGUUGCCUUGCAUUCAGGCUCCUGGCUGCCUUGGUUGUUUUGACCUUGUUCCGUUCCAAAGAAUUCUUCUGCAAUUCUUCCAUCCUCUGCUGUUAAAAGAGAGCUCUUCCCUUGCAGUUUUUAUAUUAAAUAACUAAAUUGUACACGGUAGUUUCAAGAGCUAACCUCCCUUACGGCUUUUUGCAGUUACAGAGUGG
This is a long non-coding RNA of Neopsephotus bourkii (Bourke's parrot), 1467 nucleotides long. RefSeq lists it as uncharacterized. The record is from RefSeq and is a predicted model, not a curated record. The transcript has 3 exons. Lineage: Eukaryota; Metazoa; Chordata; Aves; Psittaciformes; Psittacidae.